UAGAGUUUGAUCCUGGCUCAGGACGAACGCUGGCGGCGUGCUUAACACAUGCAAGUCGAACGAGAUCCAAUGUGUAGCAAUACACAGGAAGAUCUAGUGGCGAACGGGUGAGGAACACGUGAGAAACGUACCCCAGACUCUGGGAUAACAAUCCGAAAGGAUUGCUAAUACCGGAUGACGUCGGAAGUCCGCAUGGACAUCUGACGAAAGGGAUUCCGGUUUGGGAGCGUCUCGCGGACCUAUCAGCUAGUUGGAGGGGUAACGGCCCACCAAGGCAACGACGGGUAGCUGGUCUGAGAGGAUGGACAGCCACACUGGGACUGAGACACGGCCCAGACUCCUACGGGAGGCAGCAGUGGGGAAUCUUGCGCAAUGGGCGAAAGCCUGACGCAGCAACGCCGCGUGCGGGAAGAAGGCUUUCGGGCUGUAAACCGCUUUCAGUAGGAACGAAACUGACGGUACCUACAGAAGAAGGAGCGGCCAACUAUGUGCCAGCAGCCGCGGUGAUA
RNAcentral lists this ribosomal RNA (509 nucleotides) under uncultured Actinomycetes bacterium. RNAcentral describes it as "bacterial SSU rRNA". It matches the Rfam family "Bacterial small subunit ribosomal RNA", at positions 1 to 525 of the family's 1533-position model. The record is from RNAcentral. Lineage: Bacteria; Bacillati; Actinomycetota; Actinomycetes.